CCGGAGUAUUAUGGCACCAUUCCUGCUUUCAAGGGACAUUCUAGAAAACACCUUUUCUAUACACUUCAAAAGUAUAAAGGUCAUGAAAGACAAGAGAAGAACUACACUACACCAUCGCUACGCUUGUGGCUGUACAAUUGCAAGCAAAUGGAUGUGGGCAGCAGCAUAUGAAGAAGAUAACACCAUAUGAAUUAUUCCAUAUGAUGAAACUAAGGAGGCUGGAUGAGUAUUGUACCCCUUAAAGGCUACAACAAUUGAAAUACAGUUUGACAAAGCUAAGUUGCAGAAUAUAAAAAUAUAUAGCCUAAAGUAGGAGGAAAGAAUGUAUCUAUUAUGUAUAAG
This is a long non-coding RNA of Eptesicus fuscus (big brown bat), 342 nucleotides long. RefSeq lists it as uncharacterized. The transcript has 3 exons. NCBI's taxonomy places the organism in Eukaryota, Metazoa, Chordata, Mammalia, Chiroptera, Vespertilionidae. The record is from RefSeq and is a predicted model, not a curated record.